CGCUGGCGGCGUGCCUAACAUAUGCAAGUCGAGCGGAGUUAACAAGAGGAAGUUUCGGAUGGAAUUUGUAAUUAGCGGCGGACGGGUGAGUAACGCGUGAGCGACCAACCUUGCACAGGGGGAUAACGGACCGAAAGGUUCACUAAUACCGCAUGAGACCACGGUGUUGCAUGACACAGGGGUCAAAGGAGCAAUCCGGUGCAAGACGGGCUCGCGUCCGAUUAGGUAGUUGGAGGGGUAACGGCCCACCAAGCCUAUGAUCGGUAGCCGACCUGAGAGGGUGAUCGGCCACAUUGGAACUGAGAUACGGUCCAAACUCCUACGGGAGGCAGCAGUGGGGAAUAUUGGGCCAAUGGGGGAAACCCUGACCCAGCAACGCCGCGUGAAGGAAGAAGGUUUUCGGAUUGUAAACUUCUGUCCUUGGUGAAGAGAAGAAGACGGUAGCCAAGGAGGAAGCCCCGGCUAACUACGUGCCAGCCGCCGC
RNAcentral lists this ribosomal RNA (484 nucleotides) under uncultured bacterium. Its description in RNAcentral is "bacterial SSU rRNA". It matches the Rfam family "Bacterial small subunit ribosomal RNA", at positions 34 to 518 of the family's 1533-position model. The record is from RNAcentral.